Myodes glareolus (Bank vole) is the source of this 1680-nucleotide non-coding RNA. The record is from RefSeq and is a predicted model, not a curated record. NCBI's taxonomy places the organism in Eukaryota, Metazoa, Chordata, Mammalia, Rodentia, Cricetidae.
UGGACACGCGCCCGGGCCCCGGUCUUUCCAGCACACUGGGCUGCAGCGGUGGCGGAGGCCUUGGGUCGUGACCAGCGCGGCCCGAGCUAGCGACUAGGUUCCCGGCCCUCGAGGCAGGACGGCGUAAGUUCCCGAGAGGGACCGCCUCCCCUCACUCCCCGCCCCGGGAAGCGCUGCGCCGGCGCCCGGCGGUCCUCGGAAUCGCCCAGCCCGGCUGCAGCCACUGCCCUGGCCGAGCGCGGGCGGAAAACGAAACCGCAGGCCGCUUCGCGGGCGCUUUGUCUCCAGCACUGCAAGUGCGACCCGGCGAGUGGCUUUAGUUCCUGCAGCGCCACGAACCGCACGGGUUCCCUAGCGAAACGGCGACGGCCGGUUCACUCAUUCAUAAAGGCGCACACACGCGUGCAUUAACGCGCGCCUGGAGCGCACACGCAGUGAUGCCCCAAGCGAAUUCCCAAAUCACCAACUCAGACGUGCAAACUUGCACCCAGUGCGCGCCCCACUCACGUACCCCAGGGUCCCACGGGAGCUGACAUAGCCAUCGCCUUCAUUCACACACACAAACACACACACACACACACACACACACACACACACACACCACUCUCAGAUCAGAGCGCACACAGCAAAUUCUCCUCGGAGCCCCCUCCCCCACGCUCAACUCUGAAAUCCGCUUAGUUGGCCCCGCGGCCCCGAGUCCCCUUUUACAAGCGCAGGUUCUGAUUUCCUGAGAGAUGGCAAAGUCCGGGGCAGGAAGUUUACAAGGCUCAACGUAAACACGUUCCGGGGGAUCCUUUAAUAAUAAGAGUAGAGAAGCCUGCGGGCGCGGGGGGAGUUGGCCUGAUGCCCCUAUGGGCUCGGCCUGCCGCCGCCGCGGGGCCUCCAACACUACGCGCCAGGCCGGGUUCCGGAAAGCGGGCGGCGCUGGCGGGGAGCGCGGCAGGGAGCGGCCCUGACUGCGGGGUCGCGGCCGUGGGAAGUUGGUGCGGGAUGCAGCACGGCGCGCGCGAAACCCGGCUGGACUCUGAGCGCCCGAAACCAGGACCAAGCUUGGCACAGUGAUGAAGUCCCAGCUGUCACCACUGGCCUUUGUGCCCUUCUGGUAGAGCUGAACCCUUUCUUUGGGAUGAUAAUGGGGGCGUCACAUGUGUGCAGAGAAUGAAGACAGCCACAGUAACAUGCCGAGCAUCAGCGACAUUUUACGCACUCACAGCCUUCAAGCACUAGGAGGACUCCACUCAGGACCCAUCAUUUCCUCGUGGGAUGGUGCAACCGACUGCCCGUUGGCAUCUUGCUUCCCACCUGUGACACACUGUCCACUCUGGUCCUGGGCUCAAAAUGGGAGCAUAAGUUUAAGGUUAUCCUGGGCUACAUAGUGAACUUGGGAAACGAGAGCACUCAGUUGCCUGGUAUCACAGGGCACUCCUCUGGCCUGGGAGUACGGAGCUGAUUGGAUGUCCCACCCAACAGGGGAGGCGGUUCAAGCUCUUUCCAGGAAAUUGAGUGGAACACCCAAACUGACAUCCAAUAUUAAAUACUGUAUUUGUGGAGUUGUUCUGGAGAGUUCCCUGGCAUCUGACAUCUGGGAGAGAAAUUUAUAAGUGGGGGAAACUGAAUGCCUAGUUGGAAUGAGGCUCAUCAGAGCUGGGAAAUUAAAACGUCACUGUGCACUGGGCAGGA